AUUUGAAAUUAUAACAUUUUUGCAUUAUUAUAUAUUGUUAUUACAUAUUAUACAUUAUUUUAUUUUUUAGAUUCAUAAAUAUUAAAUAUAAAAGAUCAAGAAGACAGCAAAAGAUUAUAAAGCAAAAGAUUUGAUUCACUCUACACAUUAGGUUACACUGCAUUUAUUCUACUACUACAUAAUCUGUAAUUUUUCUACCAUUUUUUGUAAUUUCUUUCCAAACGUACAAUUUUAGAUUUUACUAUUUUUUUACCAUUACUGUAUAUUAUUACAAAACUGAGCAUUUUUAUGCAUUUAUGGAAAAUUUGAAGAUACAAAAAUGCAUAUAAUAUAUAUUAUAUGUAAAGAUAUGUGAAAUUAUUCAAAAUUUGUACAUAUUAAAUAUUAAAUAUGAAGAAUUGAAAAAAUACAGAAGGAUUGUAAAGCAAGAGAUUUUUCAAUUGAUGGAAGAUGUAGACAGAUGGAAGUACUAUAAAUUCCGGACGAAUAACGGCACCGUUUCUAGUGAAUGCAAAGGCAUUUCAACGCCUGUUUUGAACAGACGAAAAUAUCACUAGCCAAGAAGAUUGUACUUUGUACUUUUAGAUCGAAACUUGUACUUUAGAAGAAACUUGUACAUUUCAUGAAGCGGACUCACUGGUUCAAAGUCGCAAAACCUUUAUCAGUACUUGAAACUGUUAUGACUAUGACACAAUGCUUCUUGGAGUUCCAUUAUCGUUUGAGAGAAAUCAACAUUAUUUAUAUUUCAAAGAGCAAGUUGCGUUAAAUGUGUUACAUAAAAGUUCUGGACCUACGAUAUUUUUUACAAGCAUAUUUUUAAAAAAUCAAGAAACAAAUUUCAUUCUCUGACAAAAUCUAACAUCUAAGUACUUUCUAAUGAAGAACAGUACUCAAUCGAUCUUGAGAAGCUAUUUUUUUCAAAAUUUCUUAUGAUUAUAUUCGUUCUAAAAUUAACAUAGUCUUGUCCUGCAACAGGCAAUAAGAAAUAUACACAAGUGCGAUAAGACAAAAAGAACAGAAUGGAAGAAAUUACAGAUUCAAGAAGGAUGAGAAGGCACAGAUAUAGCGUAUAUCAGUGGCUCCAAGAGAACGUUUCAAGGGAUACGUUCCAACGGUGGGUCAGCAUCGACAAGGCUGUGUAUAGGUCCUUAUAUGGUAGCCAGCCGUAUGGCUGUAUAUAGAGAGAGCUCGAAAGAGGCUGAAUACGCAACUGUGAAACACAUUCGUGUCCUUUACGUAUCCGCUUGUUGAAUAUUUCUUCUCUCCCUAUCGUCGGUACACGUGUAGGAGUCUUGCAUCGAGUGCACGCAUACGAAAGCACCCACUGGCCUGCGUUAUGCGUAACGGUAACAAAAGAAGAGGAGAUUGCUUUAGUUGUACGAUUAACAUCUUUGAGUAUGUCCAAUACAUACAAAUUAAUCUUCUCAAGGUUAAUUUCAUUUUUCAAAAAUGUAUAUAACUUCAUGAAACAGAACAAGCCUUUAUAUAUAAUAAAGAAUCUCAUAGUAAUGUCAAAA
Long non-coding RNA from Bombus pascuorum, 1517 nucleotides. RefSeq lists it as uncharacterized. Lineage: Eukaryota; Metazoa; Arthropoda; Insecta; Hymenoptera; Apidae. The transcript has 3 exons. The record is from RefSeq and is a predicted model, not a curated record.